Molecule: ribosomal RNA, 465 nt
Filed under: Vreelandella stevensii
Lineage: Bacteria; Pseudomonadati; Pseudomonadota; Gammaproteobacteria; Oceanospirillales; Halomonadaceae
Description: partial 16S ribosomal RNA
Rfam family: Bacterial small subunit ribosomal RNA
Source: RNAcentral
CCUACGGGAGGCAACAGUGGGGAAUAUUGGACAAUGGGGGGAACCCUGAUCCAGCCAUGCCGCGUGUGUGAAGAAGGCCCUCGGGUUGUAAAGCACUUUCAGUGAGGAAGAACGCCUGGUGGUUAAUACCCAUCAGGAAAGACAUCACUCACAGAAGAAGCACCGGCUAACUCCGUGCCAGCAGCCGCGGUAAUACGGAGGGUGCGAGCGUUAAUCGGAAUUACUGGGCGUAAAGCGCGCGUAGGUGGCUUGAUAAGCCGGUUGUGAAAGCCCCGGGCUCAACCUGGGAACGGCAUCCGGAACUGUCAAGCUAGAGUGCAGGAGAGGAAGGUAGAAUUCCCGGUGUAGCGGUGAAAUGCGUAGAGAUCGGGAGGAAUACCAGUGGCGAAGGCGGCCUUCUGGACUGACACUGACACUGAGGUGCGAAAGCGUGGGUAGCAAACAGGAUUAGAUACCCCAGUAGUC